AUGGUAUCAGAGCAAAAUAUCUCG
RNAcentral lists this small nuclear RNA (24 nucleotides) under Arabidopsis thaliana (thale cress). Its description in RNAcentral is "snRNA_17124". Lineage: Eukaryota; Viridiplantae; Streptophyta; Magnoliopsida; Brassicales; Brassicaceae. The record is from RNAcentral.